UUUAAAUAUGCUCUGUAUCAGUUCAAAACUUGAUAUCUGGGUUUCAGUUUGCUCAAUCUAUUGUCAUGGGUCUUAAAUCUGUUUUUACAACUUCGCCAAUUUUAGGACAGCUGCAAAUAGAUGUAUGUCUCUAGCAGGAGUAGUAUAAAAUGAGGUUAAGAUAUAAUAUGUAUCAUGCAAUUAACAUAUUCGGAGUAUAUGUUUUGUAUGUGCUCUUAAAGAAAGCUACUGAGAUAGAAAUGUAUUUAAAAACUUAUUUUAGCGUUGGAGUCAAAUUUGACCUUUCAUGCCAAAUUAACAUAAUACUUUCAGUUUAAGGCGGAUUAAGCAUCCUUUCCGACAGCCUUCAACUGUGAAAGGCUUGAAACUUAAUUUAAAAUUAAUUAAUUCUAGGGAAUUAAUUAAUUAGGAAGAGAAGUAAAAUUAAAUUAGAAAAAGACAGAAAGAAAUUAUUAGAUUUAGUUGGAUUUAUACACGCGCGCAAAAAGAUUGUCAGAAUGAGUGCUUAGUUGGCUUUGAAAAAGCACCACUAAAGCUCAAAAUUCAAUUAAAAGCUUAAAAUGACAUUAAAUUUUUAUUUUUUUAAGCUAAAGUCUUGGUCUCCUUCCACUACAAUAUGAUAUGAAAUUUGGUGAAGUGUGCCACGUCAUGUUUAGUAUUUUACUACUUCAAGUGGCUGAAUUUCACAUUCCUUGCCACAUCACAAUUUUUGAUUGGUACUUUCUGAACUAUGUUAUAUUUGGAAAAUCUGUAAUAAAACUAGAAAAAGACCGAAUAUCCUAGCUAUAAUUCAUACUCUCCUUUUUGGGCCUUCUAUUAAAUCACGGGUACAACAGGCGAGGAGACAGUACCAGGUGAAGCCAAAAGUUGCUAGAUGCCGGUGAUACUUUGAUAGCUGUAACCAAGAAAAUGUAGGAUUGGGAAGCGGGGUCCACUCUGACAUUUGGUGGCACUAGAUAAUCU
Molecule: long non-coding RNA, 963 nt
Filed under: Ricinus communis (castor bean)
Lineage: Eukaryota; Viridiplantae; Streptophyta; Magnoliopsida; Malpighiales; Euphorbiaceae
Description: long non-coding RNA (RCOM_LNC003191)
Source: RNAcentral